Molecule: ribosomal RNA, 371 nt
Filed under: uncultured bacterium
Lineage: Bacteria
Also listed under: 1 other name
Description: bacterial SSU rRNA
Rfam family: Bacterial small subunit ribosomal RNA
Source: RNAcentral
GUAGGGUGCGAGCGUUAAUCGGAAUUACUGGGCGUAAAGUGUGCGCAGGUGGCCGCGCAAGUCGAGUGUGAAAUCCCCGAGCUUAACUUGGGAAUUGCGCUCGAAACUACGUGGCUCGAGUGUGGCAGAGGAAGGUGGAAUUCCACGUGUAGCGGUGAAAUGCGUAGAGAUGUGGAGGAACACCGAUGGCGAAGGCAGCCUUCUGGGCCAACACUGACGCUCAUGCACGAAAGCGUGGGGAGCAAACAGGAUUAGAUACCCUGGUAGUCCACGCCCUAAACGAUGAUGACUAGUUGUUGGGGGAGUUAAAUCCCUUAGUAACGCAGCUAACGCGUGAAGUCAUCCGCCUGGGGAGUACGGUCGCAAGAUUA